GGACCGCUGCUCGAUCUGUGGCGAAAGGCCUAUGAAUCCGGGCAAUCGUGCGAGAUCGCCGGGGAUUCGAUUCCGGCGCGGUCCG
Molecule: transfer RNA, 85 nt
Filed under: Terriglobia bacterium
Lineage: Bacteria; Pseudomonadati; Acidobacteriota; Terriglobia
Description: tRNA-OTHER
Source: RNAcentral